GUUCAUUGCAGAGAGCUUAUCAGAGUGGAGAGAGGGUUAGGUGUUCAUUGCGGAGAGCUUACCAGAGAGGAGAGAGGGUUAGGUGUUCAUUGCAGAGAGCUUACCAGAGAGGAGAGAGGGUUAGGUGUUCAUUGCGGAGAGCUUACCAGAGAGGAGAGAGGGUUAGGUGUUCAUUGCAGAGAGCUUACCAGAGAGGAGAGAGGGUUAGGUGUUCAUUGCAGAGAGCUUACCAGAGAGGAGAGAGGGUUAGGUGUUCAUUGUAAACAUCUCUGUGCUGGAUGUGUUCCCCUGACAUUUUUACAAUUAUUUACAUAUCAUCCUCUCAGUGGAGGAUUUUCUGACUCAUUUUCAGAUACAAGACUGGUUCUUUUCAGGUAAUAAUGUUUGACACCGUAGAGUAUUUGGCGGAUGUGAAAGUAUUCCGGGUGAAGUAUAAUUGCAGAAACGUGUCUGAAUUAACAACAAGAUGUUAUUAAAGUGGCUCGUUAUGAAAUGGGACAAAAACAGGGCUUGUAAUUACUGUGAUGCCCAUUUACUGAGUAAAUGAAAUAGACAACAGUUUGAUCUAUAGUCUGUCUGUAGAUGUAAUAGAAUGUAAAACACACACACACACGCACACACACACACACACACACACACACACACACACACACACACACACACA
This 664-nucleotide long non-coding RNA is filed under the name Salmo salar (Atlantic salmon). RNAcentral describes it as "lncRNA (ENSSSAG00000106771.1)". Lineage: Eukaryota; Metazoa; Chordata; Actinopteri; Salmoniformes; Salmonidae. The record is from RNAcentral.